This 433-nucleotide ribosomal RNA is filed under the name uncultured bacterium. Its description in RNAcentral is "partial 16S ribosomal RNA". It matches the Rfam family "Bacterial small subunit ribosomal RNA", at positions 29 to 507 of the family's 1533-position model. The record is from RNAcentral.
AACGAACGCUGGCGGCAUGCCUAACACAUGCAAGUCGAACGAGACCUUCGGGUCUAGUGGCGCACGGGUGCGUAACGCGUGGGAACCUGCCCUUAGGUUCGGAAUAACUCCCCGAAAGGGGUGCUAAUACCGGAUAAUGUCUUCGGACCAAAGAUUUAUCGCCUUUGGAUGGGCCCGCGUUGGAUUAGCUAGUUGGUAGGGUAAAAGCCUACCAAGGCGACGAUCCAUAGCUGGUCUGAGAGGAUGAUCAGCCACACUGGGACUGGGACACGGCCCAGACUCCUACGGGAGGCAGCAGUGGGGAAUAUUGGACAAUGGGCGAAAGCCUGAUCGAGCAAUGCCGCGUGAGUGAUGAUGUCCUUAGGGUUGUAAAGCUCUUUUACCCGGGAUGAUAAUGACAGUACCGGGAGAAUAAGCUCCGGCUAACUCCGUG